UACAGAGGGUGCGAGCGUUGUCCGGAAUCACUGGGCGUAAAGGGCGCGUAGGCGGCUCAGUAAGGUUGCGGUGAAAACCCGGGGCUCAACCCCGGGCCUGCAUUCGAUACGGGCAGACGUAGAGUUCGGUAGGGGAGUCGUGGAAUUCCUGGUGUAGCGGUGAAAUGACGCAGAUAUCAGGAGGAACACCGGUGGCGAAGGCGGGACUCUGGGCCGAUACUGACGCUGAGGAGCGAAAGCGUGGGGAGCGAACAGG
This 256-nucleotide ribosomal RNA is filed under the name uncultured bacterium. RNAcentral describes it as "partial 16S ribosomal RNA". It matches the Rfam family "Bacterial small subunit ribosomal RNA", at positions 524 to 776 of the family's 1533-position model. The record is from RNAcentral.